RNAcentral lists this ribosomal RNA (888 nucleotides) under Bacillus subtilis. RNAcentral describes it as "bacterial SSU rRNA". It matches the Rfam family "Bacterial small subunit ribosomal RNA", at positions 583 to 1471 of the family's 1533-position model. The record is from RNAcentral. Lineage: Bacteria; Bacillati; Bacillota; Bacilli; Caryophanales; Bacillaceae.
UUAAGUCUGAUGUGAAAGCCCCCGGCUCAACCGGGGAGGGUCAUUGGAAACUGGGAACUUGAGUGCAGAAGAGGAGAGUGGAAUUCCACGUGUAGCGGUGAAAUGCGUAGAGAUGUGGAGGAACACCAGUGGCGAAGGCGACUCUCUGGUCUGUAACUGACGCUGAGGAGCGAAAGCGUGGGGAGCGAACAGGAUUAGAUAACCUGGUAGUCCACGCCGUAAACGAUGAGUGCUAAGUGUUAGGGGGUUUCCGCCCCUUAGUGCUGCAGCUAACGCAUUAAGCACUCCGCCUGGGGAGUACGGUCGCAAGACUGAAACUCAAAGGAAUUGACGGGGGCCCGCACAAGCGGUGGAGCAUGUGGUUUAAUUYGAAGCAACGCGAAGAACCUUACCAGGUCUUGACAUCCUCUGACAAUCCUAGAGAUAGGACGUCCCCUUCGGGGGCAGAGUGACAGGUGGUGCAUGGUUGUCGUCAGCUCGUGUCGUGAGAUGUUGGGUUAAGUCCCGCAACGAGCGCAACCCUUGAUCUUAGUUGCCAGCAUUCAGUUGGGCACUCUAAGGUGACUGCCGGUGACAAACCGGAGGAAGGUGGGGAUGACGUCAAAUCAUCAUGCCCCUUAUGACCUGGGCUACACACGUGCUACAAUGGACAGAACAAAGGGCAGCGAAACCGCGAGGUUAAGCCAAUCCCACAAAUCUGUUCUCAGUUCGGAUCGCAGUCUGCAACUCGACUGCGUGAAGCUGGAAUCGCUAGUAAUCGCGGAUCAGCAUGCCGCGGUGAAUACGUUCCCGGGCCUUGUACACACCGCCCGUCACACCACGAGAGUUUGUAACACCCGAAGUCGGUGAGGUAACCUUUUAGGAGCCAGCCGCCGAAGGUGAACAGGA